This is an RNA transcript of Mauremys mutica (yellowpond turtle), 3233 nucleotides long. It is a transcript of the gene named integrator complex subunit 10, with no coding region annotated. The record is from RefSeq and is a predicted model, not a curated record. NCBI's taxonomy places the organism in Eukaryota, Metazoa, Chordata, Testudines, Geoemydidae. The transcript has 19 exons.
GGCUGCCCGGCACGUGCGGCAGGGUAUCGGUGUGUCACGCGCGGGCGGAACCGGGCCACCCUCUGCGCAGACAGGUGCCGAGAAGCGGCGGUGCAGCGGGCUCCGCCCCCAGCGCUGCGGCGGACGCUGCACGGCACCAGGCCCCGCGGGCCAAGAGCCGGAGUCCCGCUGACGCCGGAAGUGCACCUGCUGCCCGCAGCUAACAUGGCGGAUGCGGCUUCCCGCAGAGCCGCGCGCGGCGGGACGGCAGUUGAGCCCUCACUGGGCGGCUGCCCUUUGCUUCCCUUCGCGUUCGAGACAGCACAUGGGCUGUGACGCGUGAGCACCCGUACUCCGCGCAUGCGCCCUGGGAGGGGGAGGAAGCCGGUGGCUGCGGAGGAUGUCGGCGCAGGGGGAUUGCGAGUUCCUGGUGAAGCGGGCCCGGGACCUGGUGCAGGGGGACCUGUGGGCGGCCAAGGCCUGGCUCAUCACGGCGCGGAGCCUCUACCCGGCCGACUUCAACAUCCAGCACAACCAAAUUCCAACCUGGUGAAACAAAUUAAAGUAAAAACACAAGUGGACUAUAGGAACAAUAAGUGGUUAAGAUGCGAGAGUCAUAGCCUCUGCUGUGUGCUGGCAGUGCUUCUUUCUGUUCCCACAAUGUCAAAGAAGGCACAGCUGUAUAAAAUGAUACAUUACAGAAUUCCAAAUUAUGAAAUGUACACUAUUGAGAGGAAUGCUGAGCGGACAGCAUCAGCUGGCAGACUGUUAUAUGACAUGUUUGUGAAUUUUCCAGACCAGCCAGUGGUGUGGAGGGAGAUUAAUGUUAUUACAUCAGCAUUAAGGAAUGACUCACAGGAUAAGCAGACUCAGUUCUUAAGAGGUUUAUUUGAGACCCUUCCUGGUCGAAUUCAGUGUGAAAUGUUACUAAAGGCCACAGAGCAGUGUUUUAAUACACUAGAAAGGGCAGAAAUGCUACUGCUGCUUCUACGACGCUUCCCAGAGACUGUGGUGCAGCAUGGGGUGGGCCUAGGAGAAACGUUAUUAGAGGCUGAAAAUAUUGAGGACCAAGAAUCCCCAGUCAAUUGCUUUAGGAAAUUAUUUGUUUGUGAUGUUCUUCCUCUAAUCAUUAACAACCCUGAUGUUCGACUACCUGCCAGCUUGCUGUACAAGUACUUGAACAAGGCAGCAGAAUUUUAUAUUAAUUAUGUAACUAGAUCUACACAAAUGGAAAACCAGUAUCAAGGUUCACAAGAUACCUCUGAUCUCAUGUCCCCCAGCAAACGUAGCUCUCAGAAGUAUGUAAUAGAGGGUCUGACUGAGAAAUCAUCCCAGAUUACAGACCCUUGGGAGAGGCUGUUUAAGAUACUGUCUGUCGUGGGAAUGAGAUGUGAAUGGCAGAUGGAUAAAGGAAGAAGAAGUUUUGGUGAUAUUUUACACAGAAUGAAAGACCUCUGCAGAUACAUCAGUAAUUUUGAUAACGAAGCCCAUGCGCAGUAUAAGAAUCAAGUAGUGUAUUCAACAAUGUUGGUCUUCUUUAAGAAUGCAUUCCAAUAUGUCAGCAACAUCCAGCCAUCUCUCUUCCAAGGGCCAAAUGCUCCAAACCAAGUUCCACUGGUUCUCCUUGAGGAUGUGUCCAGUGUCUAUGGUGAUACAGAUAUUGAUCGCAACAAGCACAUACAUAAAAAGAGGAAACUUGCAGAAGGAAGAGAGAAGACAAUGAUCCUUAAGCAGAGUUCGGAUGAUGAAGACCCUUCUGGAAAGGGGAGAAAUCGUCACAUCACAAUAAAUAAGACAGACCUUGCAAACUCUGUUGAAGUACUAGAGAGCUUUAAACUGGCAAGAGAGAGCUGGGAGCUUCUCUAUUCUCUGGAAUCACUCGAUAAAGAAUUCACAAGAAUUUGCUUGUCAUGGAAGACAGAUACCUGGCUUUGGUUACGAAUCUUCCUCACAGAUAUGAUCAUUUACCAGGGUCAGUAUAAAAAAGCAGUUACCAGCCUACAUCACUUAGCAGCUCUUCAGGGAUCUCAUUCUCAGCAGCAGAUCACAGGACAAGGAUCACUCCUAGAGAAUCAGAGAGCACUUAUCCAGUUAGCUACUUGCCACUUUGCCCUUGGAGAAUACAGAUUGACAUGUGAAAAAGUACUUGACCUCAUGUGCUACAUGGUACUUCCCAUACAAGAAGGGGGUAAAACGCAGGAGGAGCAGCCUAAAGUGAAGUCUAAAUUCAGGAAAGGUUCUGAUCUAAAACUUUGGCCAUGUACCAGUAAAGCUAUUAUGCCAUAUUGCCUCCAUUUAUUGUUGGCUUGUUUUAAGCUGAGAGCUUUCACAGAUAACAGGGAUGAUAUGGCUUUGGGUCACGUGGUCGUUUUGCUUCAGCAUGAAUGGCCAAGGGGGGAGAACUUGUUCCUGAAAUCCAUCAACAAAAUCUGUCAGCAGGGAAACUUCCAGUAUGAGAAUUUUUUCAACUAUGUUACAAAUAUUGAUAUGCUGGAGGAAUUUGCCUAUUUAAGAACACAAGAAGGAGGGAAGAUUCAUCUGGAGUUGCUGCCAAAUCAAGGAAUGUUAAUUAAAGUGGAAAUCUGGAUCAACAGCUCGUCGCUCUUCUUGCUACAGCAUCCUCUCUCUUCCCAUUCAGCUUUCCAAAAUGGUCUCCUGCUGCUCUUCACUAAAAUCACUGUUAUGGGUGCUGAGGAAAACAUCCCGGAAAGCACUGCUGUACAUUGGAUUGUAUUUCCACCCACUUGUGGCAUGACAAGCCCUGGAAUGGUCUAUUGUGGGUGUGUUAGAGUGAUGGGUAGAGGCGGCUAAGGCCUUGUUGCCUCCUAUUACUUUAGCUGGACAGUUGGUCGCACUGUGAUCUCCCUCCAGUUCUCUUCUGUAUCUUUCUGGAGAGUUGUUGUGCAGCAUGGGGGAGCCAGUAUGGUUGUUUGAAUGCUGCUGUUUGCUGUUUUUUAAAGGACUUCUAGCCCUCCCAUGGGGUUACUGCAGCAGGAGUUCAUACCUGUACUACAGCCCAGCAUACAGACUGCUGACAGGUACCAAGCGGAAAAACCCUGCUCACGGCAUCACACAGUAACCCGGGGAAUAACUAAAGGGGUGAAAGAGGAUUUCCGCUUGGCUAUGGAGCGCCAAGUCUCACGCUGCGGGGAGAAUCUGAUGGUGGUGUUACACAGAUUCUGCAUUAAUGAGAAGAUACUGUUACUUCAGACACUGACUUGAGUGGAGUGGACAGUGCAGCAGGGUGUCUUGCU